GGCACUUUGGCCGAGUGGUCUAAGGCGCUGUGUUCAGGUCUUCUACAAAAGAAUCUCUGUACGAUUCUUCGUCGUGCAGGCGAUUUUGAAAGCCUCUACUUCGCAGUCUAGAAAUAGGCGUGGGUUCGAGUCCCACAGGUGUCA
This 144-nucleotide transfer RNA is filed under the name [Torrubiella] hemipterigena. RNAcentral's name for it is "Torrubiella hemipterigena tRNA". It matches the Rfam family "tRNA". Rfam says of the family: Transfer RNA (tRNA) molecules are approximately 80 nucleotides in length. Their secondary structure includes four short double-helical elements and three loops (D, anti-codon, and T loops). The record is from Rfam by way of RNAcentral. Lineage: Eukaryota; Fungi; Ascomycota; Sordariomycetes; Hypocreales; Clavicipitaceae.